Long non-coding RNA from Mesocricetus auratus (golden hamster), 1388 nucleotides. RefSeq lists it as uncharacterized. Lineage: Eukaryota; Metazoa; Chordata; Mammalia; Rodentia; Cricetidae. The transcript is spliced from 3 exons. The record is from RefSeq and is a predicted model, not a curated record.
ACACCUUCACGGCGAUCCUUUGCUACACACUGGGUCUGAGGGGAGCCUAAGAAAGCUCAUUUUCGAGAAAUGCCGGGGGAGGGGAUCUUUCUUCUUGCAAAUCGCAAGAGGUCCCCCCACCGAGAGCUGAAACUGCUGUCUGCCACGGAGGUGAACAACGCUGCCAUGUUCUGCUGCUGCGACGUUCCGACUUCGCCACAAGCUUAGAGACACAGAACCAAGGGAUGUGGACUCUGAACCCCAUGGAAUAACGCGCAGAAGCCGCAAUAUCACAGGCAGUGGACUUCAAGACCUCUGGCCAUGUUCCAAAGCUUCACCCAUCUGCUGAUCUUCAGGGCUGUCACCUAGCACAUCAGCUACGCUCAAACCAGCCUGUCUUCAAGCCUGUUCAAGGCAAGAAGGGGCUCCCAGGAGUCGGUCCUGGAAGAGACUACAGCAGAAGCCUUCAAGACUGCAUUACCCAGGACAUGCUGAGAGCCCCGUGGAAUGUGGGAGAACAGGAAAACAAGACUUGCUUUUCUUCUUUAAUUUUUGUUUUGGAGGCAGGAUCUCAUGUAGCUGAGGCUGACCUUGAACUCCUGAUUAUCCCAAGUGCUGGGACUAGACGUGUAUUCCCUGGUUGUUUUACUUUACUCAGGCAGGGUCUUGUGCAGGCCAGGGUGGCCUGGCCCUACAGAGGCUGAGACUCUCUAGCCUUUGAGAUGUAAAGCAAGAGCUAAGGUAGCAUAGCGACAUCAAAGACGGAGCCACGGGCUUCUCAGUCAGAUGGGGCAUAACAAGUUCAAGGCUGCCCUUUGAUUUUUCAAAGAUUAGAUGCCUGAAGUCUGAACACUUCAAACACCUAAGUCUUCCUGACAGCAAAAUAAGGUUCGGUGCACCUCAGAGUAUUUCCCCUUUACUGGUGAAAUGAAAAAGAAAUAUUGGAAUCUCAAAACACAUGUUCUUCUCACUUCCUCUGAAAGAGAACUCAUUAUUUUUGCUCCAUUUUAUCUCAAAACUUUGGGAAAAGGCUAUUACUGAGUAAUUAAUUCUUAGCACUCUUCUUGGCUAUUAUAUUUCAACAUGUAAAUGGAACCAUAAUCUUUGGAGAUUUCUGAGUCACAUGGCAUGAUAGAUAUUGGAAAAUAAUGGAAAUGCUUGCUUUCAACUCGGACAGUGCAUCAAAACUGUAACAUUCGUGUUUCUGAGGAACCGGGACACAAACCCAGGACACCUGGCAUCCUGGUCACUUGUUCUACCACUGAUCUAUACACUUCAACUUUAUGGGGGUGGGGGUUGCUUUGCUACUGUGAUUUUCUGUUUGCUUGUCUUUUUGUUUGUUUGUUUAGUUGGUUGGUUUUUUGAGACAGGGUUUCUCUGUGUAGCUUUGUAGACCAGGAUGGCCUCGA